RNAcentral lists this ribosomal RNA (550 nucleotides) under uncultured bacterium. RNAcentral's name for it is "bacterial SSU rRNA". It matches the Rfam family "Bacterial small subunit ribosomal RNA", at positions 355 to 896 of the family's 1533-position model. The record is from RNAcentral.
UAGGGAAUCUUCGGCAAUGGACGGAAGUCUGACCGAGCAACGCCGCGUGAGUGAAGAAGGUUUUCGGAUCGUAAAGCUCUGUUGUAAGAGAAGAACGAGUGUGAGAGUGGAAAGUUCACACUGUGACGGUAUCUUACCAGAAAGGGACGGCUAACUACGUGCCAGCAGCCGCGGUAAUACGUAGGUCCCGAGCGUUGUCCGGAUUUAUUGGGCGUAAAGCGAGCGCAGGCGGUUAGAUAAGUCUGAAGUUAAAGGCUGUGGCUUAACCAUAGUAGGCUUUGGAAACUGUUUAACUUGAGUGCAAGAGGGGAGAGUGGAAUUCCAUGUGUAGCGGUGAAAUGCGUAGAUAUAUGGAGGAACACCGGUGGCGAAAGCGGCUCUCUGGCUUGUAACUGACGCUGAGGCUCGAAAGCGUGGGGAGCAAACAGGAUUAGAUACCCUGGUAGUCCACGCUGUAGACGAUGAGUGCUAGGUGUUAGACCCUUUCCGGGGUUUAGUGCCGUAGCUAACGCAUUAAGCACUCCGCCUGGGGAGUACGACCGCAAGGUUG